GAUGAACGCUAGCGGCAGGCCUAACACAUGCAAGUCGAGGGGCAGCACGUCUUCGGAUGAUGGCGACCGGCGCACGGGUGCGUAACGCGUAUGCAACCUACCUCUUACAGUGGGAUAGCCCAGAGAAAUUUGGAUUAAUACCGCAUAGUAUACAGAUUCAGCAUUGGGACUGUAUUAAACAUUUAUGGGUAAGAGAUGGGCAUGCGUUCUAUUAGUUAGUUGGAGUGGUAACGGCACCCCAAGACAGCGAUAGAUAGGGGCCCUGGAGAGGGGGAUCCCCCGACACUGGUACUGAGACACGGACCAGACUCCUACGGGAGCAGCAGUGAGGAAUAUUGGACAAUGGGCGAGAGCCUGAUCCAGCCAUGCCGCGUGCAGGAAGACGGCCCUAUGGGUUGUAAACUG
This 405-nucleotide ribosomal RNA is filed under the name uncultured bacterium. Its description in RNAcentral is "bacterial SSU rRNA". It matches the Rfam family "Bacterial small subunit ribosomal RNA", at positions 28 to 432 of the family's 1533-position model. The record is from RNAcentral.